AAAUAGUGUUCUUGCUCCUCCUCCUUUCAAUAAAUUCUCAAUAUAGCAAACUCUGAGGAUGAAGGAGGUUAAAAAUCUCAUUUUAUAUUCAUUUCAAAUAGUUGAGAAAAAUAAAUAAUAAAUGAAGUUCUAAUGUAAACACUUAUUCUGUGUUCUAUUUAAAUCCUGUGUUAAUAUUCAUAGUAUAUUCCUGCCCCAAGGAGUUUGCUGACCAAUUUCAAGCAUCACAUUAGUAGGUGGUAAUGUUCUACAGAAAUAAAAAGUGAGAGGAGGAUGAAAGAAAAAUAUUAUUUCAGGUAACAAUUAAAAUAAUGAACGUCUUAAGAGCACACAACCUUUCUUUUUCCUCUUCUCUUUGGUUUAGUGGAACAUAGCUCCCUUUCUUUGGCCCUGGUGAUAAGAGAACCCCUCCAUGAAGUGAGCAUGUUUUACUGAAUGUAAAAGAAUCCGCCUAAAAAUUUGGAGCAGUGAGUAUCAUCCCAAAGGAAUGAUCAGGGAUCACACUGGGCUCUCCAAAUGUAACAGAGUAAAGAGCAUGGCUGCUUCUAAGAAAUUUCAAAUUCAUUCCCUCAGACAACCAGCAAAAAUGUAAGCGUAUAAAUCGUGAGGACAGACCGAGCCAGAGAGAGGAGAGCUUAAUUAUUAGGUGAUCAGAAGUGGGAGUCCUGAUUCCAUUUUACAGUUAUUGAAGAGUUUGUGAAUUUAUGGUUAAUAGUCACUUAGGAUUAAAAAACAAAACAAAAUAGUCUCUUGAGAGCAGGGACUGGA
RNAcentral lists this long non-coding RNA (768 nucleotides) under Struthio camelus australis. Its description in RNAcentral is "lncRNA (ENSSCUG00000013529.1)". The record is from RNAcentral. Lineage: Eukaryota; Metazoa; Chordata; Aves; Struthioniformes; Struthionidae.